This 2770-nucleotide ribosomal RNA is filed under the name Escherichia coli. RNAcentral's name for it is "23S ribosomal RNA". It matches the Rfam family "Bacterial large subunit ribosomal RNA". Lineage: Bacteria; Pseudomonadati; Pseudomonadota; Gammaproteobacteria; Enterobacterales; Enterobacteriaceae. The record is from RNAcentral.
GGUUAAGCCGGACCAAGGUACACGGUGGAUGCCCCGGCAGUCAGAGGGCGACGCGCAGCGACGCCGUUCCACAAGCGUCGGUAAGGUGAUAUGGUGAAAACUGCUGCACCGGCGAUUGAAUGGGGAAACCCAGUGUACUUCGAUAUCAUUAACUGGAAUCCAUAGGUUAAUGAGGGUAUGAACCGGGGAACUGAAACAUCUGGCACCCCGAGGAAAAGAGAAAUCAACCGAGAUCCCCCCAGUGCAGCGGCGAGCGAACGGGGAGCAGUCUGUGAUUUCGAACUGCGUGCGUGUUAGUGGAAGCGUCUGGAAAGGCGUAAGUGCGAUACAGGUGACGCCCUCCCUGCAUUAAUAAAAAUGAUAAUAAUGCUAGAGCUCGAUGAGCAGGGCGGACACGUAGACCUGGUUCGAAUAUGGGGACCAUCCUCCUGCUACCACCUGACUGACCGAUAGUGAACCAGUACCGUGAGGGAAAGGCGAAGUUAAGAACCCGGCGAGGUGGCGAAAGAACUGGAACCGCGUACGCAAUAAGAAAGUGGAGAAUCAUCGCUUAGGCGUGAUCAGUGCACCUUUGUAUAAUGGUCGCUGACUUAUAUUCUGUGUUGCUGGGGAAUAGGAGUUUCGAAGGAAACCGCCGAGUCUUAUCAUGCUGCUGGCGGUAUGACCUGAAACUCGGUGGAUUCCAGCCAUGGCAGGUUGGAAGGUUGGGUAACACUGAGGACCGAACCGACUAAGGUUGAAAAUUAGCGAUGACUUGUAUAGAAAGGUUAAUCAAACCGGAGAUAGCUGGUUCUCCUCGAAAGCUAUUUAGGUAAGGCCUCGUGAACCCAUCUCCGGGGUGGCAGAACAAUUGUUUCGGCAAGGCUCAUCCCGACUUUACCAACCUGAUGCAAACUGCGAAUACCGAGAAUGUUACCGAUGGCGGUUAAUCCGUCGUGAAGAGGAAACAACCCAGACCGCCAGCUUAAGGUCCCAAAGUGCCGCCGGGCGGGAACGAUGUGUAGGCCAGCUGGAUGUUGGUCAUUUAGGAAGCAGCCAUCACUUUUAAAGAAAGCGUAAUAGCCUCACUGGUCGAGUCGGCCUGCGCGAAUGCAGGCUAAACCAUGCACCGAAGCUGCGUGGCAGCGACGCUAUGCGCUGUGGGGAUGUCUCCGAAGCUCAGAAGGUGUACUGUGAGGUAUGCUGGAGGUAUCAGAAGUGAAUGCUGAUGAUGCGGCCCAUAAAGUGGGUGAGUGCCCGCUCGCCGGAAGACCCACAAGGUUCCUGGUCCAAUCGGCAGGGUGAAAUGGCGAGGUGGGCCAAGGCGUAGUCGAUGGGAAAUUUCUCAUUAUUAAUAUUCCUGUAAUGGCAAGUUACUCGCGAAGGGGAUAUUAAGGUUGGCCGGCAUGACGGUUAUCCCUGGUUUUUCAUGGCUGGUUUUCCAGCAAAUCCGGAAAAUCAAGGCCGAGGCGGUGGAUGACGAGGACCUACGGUGCUGAAGCAACAAAUGCCCCGUGAAAGCCUCUAAGCAUCAGGUAACAUCAACUGCACCCCAAAACCGACACAGGUGGUCAGGUAGAGAAUACCAAGAAGGCGCCUGAGAGGAACCGGCGAAGGAACUAGGCAAAUGUCGCACUGGAGGCAGCUGAUAUGUAGGCGAAGGACUGCUCGGAGCUGAAAUCAGUCGAAGAUACCCAGCUGGCUGCAACUGUUAAACACAGCACUGUGCAAACACGGAAAGUGGACGUACGUGACGCCUGCCCGGUGCCGAAGGUUAAUUGAUGGGUCAGCGCAAGCGCGAAGCUCUCGGAUCGAAGCCCGGUAAACGGCGGCCGUAACUAUAACGGUCCUAAGGUAGCGAAAUUCCCUUUGUCGGGUAAGUUCCGACCGCACGAAUAUGCGAUGGUAUUUCAGCUGCUCCACCCGGAGACCUGCGGAAUGAACUCUGCUACAGAAGAUGCAGUGUACCCGCGGCGCGAAAGACCCCGUGAACCUUUACCAUAGCUUGGACACCGAACAUUGAGCCCUGGAUGCAGGAUAGGGAUUUCGAAGUGUGGACGCCAGUCUGCAUGGAGCCGACCCUGAAAUACCCACCUGUUUGAUGUUCUGCUGUCCGCUGCGGACAGUAAGUCUGGUGGGUGGAUCAAGCGGUCUCCUCCCAAAGAGUAACGGAGGAGCACGAAGCGCCGGCUAACCCCGCCUGACAUCAGGAGGUUAUAAUGGCAUAAGCCAGCCAGUUUGAUCGCGGAGCGUACGGCGCGGCGGCAGCAGGCCCGCAGUGAUCCGGUGGUUCACCGGAAGGGCUUACCGUCAACGGAUAAAAGCAAAAUCUGGGAUAAUACGAUACCGCCCGCUAUAUCGACGGCGGUGUUCUUGGCACCCCGAUGUCGGCUCAUCACAUCCCGGGCUGAAGCGGUCCCAAGGUACACACCGCCAUUUUAAAGUGGCACGCUGAGCUGGCUUAGAACGUCGUGAGACAGUUCGGUCCCCAUUCGCCGUGGGCGCUGGAGAACUGAGGGGCCGUUCUAAAGUACGAGGAUCGAGUGAAAUUUAGUGUUUCCAAUGUCGCCAAUGGCACUCGCUCCGGUAGCUAAACGCGGAAGAGAUAAGUGCUGAAAGCAUCUGGCACGAACUCGUUCUUCGAGAUGAGUUCUCCCUGACUCCCUUUGAGAGUCCUGAAGGAACGUUGAAGACGACGACGUUGAUAGGCCGGGUGUGUAAGCGCAGCGAUGCGUUGAGCUAACCGGUACUAAUGAACCGUGAGGCUUAACCUUACAACGCCGAAGCUGUU